AUCUAUGGCCAUACCACCCUGAACCCGACCAGUCUCAUCUGAUCUCGGAAGCUAAGCAGGAUCAGGCCUGGUUAGUACUUGGAUGGGAGAAAUGCCAAUCAAAACCAAAAUGAGAUACCAUCUCAC
Molecule: non-coding RNA, 126 nt
Organism: Pan troglodytes (chimpanzee)
Lineage: Eukaryota; Metazoa; Chordata; Mammalia; Primates; Hominidae
Source: Rfam